GUGUGUGGGUGUGUAUUUGACCUCUGGGCAUUUUCCUACAGAAUCAUGAUAAUAGCGCUACCAAGUGAAAAGACGUUUAUUAGAAAUUUAUCAUAGGCCCUAUAUCAGUGCAACGAGAAAUCUGUUCACGUGAUAUUGGCAACUGACAAAUACAACUACGGAACUAGUACGGAUACAAACUUGCAUCUGGUUCAGUACAGUCGUUGAGUUGAUUUUUUUGGUUUCAGGAAAAUGUUACCGAGGGCUCUCCUAGUCAUCUUCGUUUGCGCUGCCGUUGUUGGGAUGGUGGCUGAGGUCGUCAUUGCCGAUGAGGGUCCGGGUCAUUCAGGUCAGCCAGGUCGUGGAAGCGUGCUUCAGCAGCUGUAUUCUCUCAAAGCCAAGGCUAUCAGAAAUGAAGCUCGGAAAGAUGGAGGCCUCCAAUAUCCGCCGUGUUACCCCAGCUGUGAUUUUUAGCAAAGAAAAGGACCGCAUAUCACGGUGAAGCCUGGGAUCGAUCAUUUUUUUCUUUAUUUUAUCGAGCAUGGAGCCUGUCUGAACCAACACGCUGUACUUCCGGAUGUGAAGGUCCAGGGGCGGAUCCAGGAUUUUUGAAAAAAAGGGGGGGGGAUUUUCCCGAAAAAAAUUGACAAGCAAAAAGAAAAAGCAAAAAAAGAAAACCUUACUGGUGUAUGAAGUAUGAGCGGCAUAUUCCCAUUGGAAAUCUAGCA
Molecule: long non-coding RNA, 707 nt
Organism: Lytechinus variegatus (green sea urchin)
Lineage: Eukaryota; Metazoa; Echinodermata; Echinoidea; Temnopleuroida; Toxopneustidae
Exons: 3
Source: RefSeq, a predicted model, not a curated record